AAACCACUGAAGGCAACAGCACACUGGAGCUGGGGAGGAACACAAAACAGUGAAGAGAUCUGAGAGUUCUGGACAGAGCCUCAACUGUGUCCAGUGUGUUACCUCACUGAAAGCCACUCGUGCUCACCUCUUUUCUGCAGCCCGAAGGAAACAGUAAAUAGUAAACAGAGAAUGAACAAGAUGUUACACAUCCAACGUCAGGAGGAAAGCAAGCAAG
RNAcentral lists this long non-coding RNA (217 nucleotides) under Cavia porcellus (domestic guinea pig). RNAcentral's name for it is "lncRNA (ENSCPOG00000030113.1)". The record is from RNAcentral. Lineage: Eukaryota; Metazoa; Chordata; Mammalia; Rodentia; Caviidae.